UUCUGAUCCUCGACUGCGACUCCCAGCCGCACGCCCUGACGCACUUCCCCGGCGCCAGGUCGGAGCGGAUGGGGAUCGGGGUCGAGGGCCCCACGGAC
Molecule: non-coding RNA, 98 nt
Filed under: Microbacterium oleivorans
Lineage: Bacteria; Bacillati; Actinomycetota; Actinomycetes; Micrococcales; Microbacteriaceae
Description: mraW
Rfam family: mraW RNA
Source: RNAcentral